GCACUUGUGGUUCAGUGGUAGAAUUCUCACCUCCCACGCGGGAGACCCAGGUUCAAUUCCCAGCCAACGCA
RNAcentral lists this transfer RNA (71 nucleotides) under Loxodonta africana (African savanna elephant). It matches the Rfam family "tRNA". Rfam says of the family: Transfer RNA (tRNA) molecules are approximately 80 nucleotides in length. Their secondary structure includes four short double-helical elements and three loops (D, anti-codon, and T loops). The record is from Rfam by way of RNAcentral. Lineage: Eukaryota; Metazoa; Chordata; Mammalia; Proboscidea; Elephantidae.